AGACUAGUUUCCUCUUUACUGCAGACUGCGACGCAAGGCCAUCCACUAAUCUUUGAUGCCUGCUCACUGCACAGGCCCCUUCCUCUCUCCCCGCACCUCCUCCCACAACGCCUGCAGAUCUCAGAUGCGUUUGAACUACAGUAACCCCAACCCAGCUCGCGGCAAGCAGGCAGCGCAGCAGCAGUAGCAGCAGCAACCGGGCCGCCGCCGCCGCGGGGCUAAGAGAUUACGUUCAGCAAAAACUCUUCCAGGAAAGAGGCUCGAGAGCUCCCCUCCUAUCUCGCCAAGGGUGCUGACUCUGUCGCGCCACGCCACGUACCAAAAGGCUCGCGAAGAAAAACGCGGGCGAAGUUCAGCAUCCCCGAACAGAAAGGGAACUCAUUCCAGAAAGGGGGUUCACGGGUCUGAGGGUCCUUGGGUGGGGAAAGCAGUAUUGGAGGGAGAAGACAGAAGGGAUGGCAAGACAGAGGAAACCACGGGGACAAAAAGGAAGGGAUGAGGAGCCCUCUUACUAUAAAAGGGACUGACGGACGGGAUGCAGAGCAAUGGGCCCCCCUCGAAAAAUGGACUGGCAGGCCCUUCCGCACCCCCAAACAACCUCGCACCACCUGAAAGCGGGGAGCUUGAGUUUGGGGCUGCGUAGAUCAAAGCAGGGGACCACGUGGGAGAAUUUGAAGGGCUGAUCCUGUCCCGGUGCAUUCGCAGUAGCAAUGAUGCGAGAAUUCGUUUUAACCUCGUCACUGACUGGACUAGACUGUAAACUCCUUGGCGUCUGGGAUGGCUCAGCCGUGCCCAGCACCAAGUGCAGGCACUCAAACCCCUGUGGAGUAAGUGACUGGAUGAAUGAAUGCAUUGGAACUGUUCACUGAGUAUCUGUAACAAUUUUGAUCCCAUGGUUUGGUACAAAGAAUUUUAUUGCAGUAUGAAAUUAAAUG
Molecule: long non-coding RNA, 935 nt
Filed under: Homo sapiens (human)
Lineage: Eukaryota; Metazoa; Chordata; Mammalia; Primates; Hominidae
Description: HSALNT0330506
Source: RNAcentral